AUAAAAAAUUAUGUUUUUUAAAAUUUAUUAUACAUUUAUUUUACAUAUAAAUUUUAGUAUAAAAUUUUAAUUAUUUUAAAAAUAAUUAAAUUAUUUUAAUAGUAAUUAAAAUUAAAAAUUUAAGAAAUUAAGAUUUAGUAAUAUGAAAAUUAAUAACUAAUUUUGUGCCAGCAGUUGCGGUUAAACAAAGAUUAAAUUAAAUUAUUUCAGUAUAUAAUUAAUAAAUAAUAAAUUAAAAUAAAUAUUAAAUUAUUAAGUGAAAUUUUAAUUUAAUUAAAUUUUCUAUAUAAAUUUAUGAUUUAUUAAAUUUUAAUAUAAACUAGGAUUAGAUACCCUAUUAUUAAAAAUUUAAUUUAUAAUACUAAAAUAGUAAAUAAUAAAUAUUGAAACUUAAAUAAAAAGGCGGUAUUUUAGUUCAUUUAGAGGAAUCUGUCUAAUAAUUGAUAAUCCACGAAUAAAUUUACUUAAUUUAAAAUUUUAUAUAUCGUUGUUAAAAAAAUAUUUUUAAAUAAAAAUAAUAUUUUAAAAUUAAAAUAAAAAAUUAAUUCAGAUCAAGAUGUAGAAUAUAAUUAAGAAUAUGAUGGAUUACAAUAAAUUUAUUUAAAUGAAUAAUAAGUUGAAAAAUAAAUUUGAAAGUGGAUUUAAAUGUAAUUUUAUUUAAUUUAAUAAAAUGAUUAAAAAUUAAAAUAUGUACAUAUUGCCCGUCACUUUCAUUUAAAAAUUGAAAUAAGUCGUAACAAAGUAGAGGUACUGGAAAGUGUUUCUAGAAUGAA
This 773-nucleotide non-coding RNA is filed under the name Calinaga davidis. Lineage: Eukaryota; Metazoa; Arthropoda; Insecta; Lepidoptera; Nymphalidae. The record is from RNAcentral.